Molecule: ribosomal RNA, 700 nt
Filed under: Salmonella enterica subsp. enterica serovar Mbandaka
Lineage: Bacteria; Pseudomonadati; Pseudomonadota; Gammaproteobacteria; Enterobacterales; Enterobacteriaceae
Description: partial 23S ribosomal RNA
Rfam family: Bacterial large subunit ribosomal RNA (bases 81-700)
Source: RNAcentral
AAGCCAGUGGUGAACUCCACAUACGCAUCCUUUGCUGAGGAUACGGUUAACGGAGCGAAAGCGACGUUCAACCUCAAAAGAAGCAGAGGGGGCUUAGUGGUGGGGUGACUGCGUACCUUUUGUAUAAUGGGUCAGCGACUUAUAUUCUGUAGCAAGGUUAACCGCAUAGGGGAGCCGGAGGGAAACCGAGUCUUAAUUGGGCGUUAAGUUGCAGGGUAUAGACCCGAAACCCGGUGAUCUAGCCAUGGGCAGGUUGAAGGUUGGGUAACACUAACUGGAGGACCGAACCGACUAAUGUUGAAAAAUUAGCGGAUGACCUGUGGCUGGGGGUGAAAGGCCAAUCAAACCGGGAGAUAGCUGGUUCUCCCCGAAAGCUAUUUAGGUAGCGCCUCGUGAAUUCAUCUCCGGGGGUAGAGCACUGUUUCGGCUAGGGGGCCAUCCCGGCUUACCAACCCGAUGCAAACUGCGAAUACCGGAGAAUGUUAUCACGGGAGACACACGGCGGGUGCUAACGUCCGUCGUGAAGAGGGAAACAACCCAGACCGCCAGCUAAGGUCCCAAAGUCAUGGUUAAGUGGGAAACGAUGUGGGAAGGCCCAGACAGCCAGGAUGUUGGCUUAGAAGCAGCCAUCAUUUAAAGAAAGCGUAAUAGCUCACUGGUCGAGUCGGCCUGCGCGGAAGAUGUAACGGGGCUAAACCAU